Hibiscus syriacus is the source of this 243-nucleotide long non-coding RNA. RefSeq lists it as uncharacterized. The record is from RefSeq and is a predicted model, not a curated record. Lineage: Eukaryota; Viridiplantae; Streptophyta; Magnoliopsida; Malvales; Malvaceae. The transcript has 3 exons.
UAAAAUUCAUUUUUCUAAUCAUAUAUUAAAGAUAAGGGGGAGAUAUUUUCUCAAGAAAUUUCAUGAACUCUUCCCCCUAUUCAGCUGCUGUCGGGUCUUCAUAGCAAGAUUUCAAUAAAACUAGCAAUCCGAACAAUCUGAAAGGAAAGGACAAAGCUUGUGACUAGUAUUAUCGUAUACAAGCUCUUAAGUGAGGCAAAGGUUCUAGUAAGGAUAAGUACGAUCGGUAAGGAGCUAUCGGAG